CUUACCAACUCUUGACAUCCCAUUGACCGCUUGAGAGAUCAAGUUUUCCCUUCGGGGACAAUGGUGACAGGUGGUGCAUGGUUGUCGUCAGCUCGUGUCGUGAGAUGUUGGGUUAAGUCCCGCAACGAGCGCAACCCCUAUCCUUAGUUGCCAGCAUUCAGUUGGGCACUCUAGGGAGACUGCCGGUGACAAACCGGAGGAAGGUGGGGAUGACGUCAAAUCAUCAUGCCCCUUAUGAGUUGGGCUACACACGUGCUACAAUGGACGGUACAAAGGGCAGCGAGACCGCGAGGUGGAGCCAAUCCCAUAAAGCCGUUCCCAGUUCGGAUUGCAGGCUGCAACUCGCCUGCAUGAAGUCGGAAUCGCUAGUAAUCGCAGGUCAGCAUACUGCGGUGAAUACGUUCCCGGGUCUUGUACACACCGCCCGUCACACCACGAGAGUUUGCAACACCCGAAGCCGGUGAGUAACCNNCAAGGAGCCAGCCGUCGAAGU
Molecule: ribosomal RNA, 493 nt
Filed under: uncultured Exiguobacterium sp.
Lineage: Bacteria; Bacillati; Bacillota; Bacilli; Caryophanales
Description: bacterial SSU rRNA
Rfam family: Bacterial small subunit ribosomal RNA
Source: RNAcentral